RNAcentral lists this ribosomal RNA (253 nucleotides) under uncultured bacterium. RNAcentral's name for it is "partial 16S ribosomal RNA". It matches the Rfam family "Bacterial small subunit ribosomal RNA", at positions 524 to 776 of the family's 1533-position model. The record is from RNAcentral.
UACAGAGGAUGCAAGCGUUAUCCGGAAUGAUUGGGCGUAAAGCGUCUGUAAGUGGCUUUUUAAGUCCGCCGUCAAAUCCCAGGGCUCAACUCUGGACAGGCGGUGGAAACUACCAAGCUGGAGUACGGUAGGGGCAGAGGGAAUUUCCGGUGGAGCGGUGAAAUGCGUAGAGAUCGGAAGGAACACCAGUGGCGAAAGCGGCUUCCUGGUCCGACACCGACGUUCAGGCACGAAAGCGUGGGGAGCAAACAGG